RNAcentral lists this ribosomal RNA (253 nucleotides) under uncultured bacterium. RNAcentral describes it as "partial 16S ribosomal RNA". It matches the Rfam family "Bacterial small subunit ribosomal RNA", at positions 524 to 776 of the family's 1533-position model. The record is from RNAcentral.
UACGUAGGUGGCAAGCGUUGUCCGGAAUUAUUGGGCGUAAAGAGCGUGUAGGCGGUCCGGUAAGUCAGCUGUGAAAGUCAAGGGCUCAACCCUUGAAUGCCGGUUGAUACUGUCGGGCUAGAGUCCGGAAGAGGCGAGUGGAAUUCCCGGUGUAGCGGUGAAAUGCGCAGAUAUCGGGAGGAACACCAGUAGCGAAGGCGGCUCGCUGGGCCACACCUGACGCUGAGACGCGAAAGCUAGGGGAGCGAACAGG